GCCUCGCUCCCCCCAGAGCUGCGGCCUCAGCCCGGCCCCGCCGCCCGCCUCCCUCCCUGCCCCACUGUCAGAGCCGCCCGCCCGCGUGGCAGCGGGCACAGCGGGGCGUGUGGCGUUUCCCUGCGGUGGCUGCUUUGGUACUGGGGGACGACAGCUGUGUCCCACGCGGUGUCCGUCCGUCCGUCCAUCCAUCCAUCCAUCCAUCCAUCCAUCCAUCCAUCCCUGAGUGGGCGGCGGCUCGUGUGUGUGUGUGACUGACAGUGAGGCGCGCACAGCGCGGGGGCAGCCGCUCGCACGCAGCCCGCCGGGGCCACGCCGGCGCGCCCCGGCUGCGGCAGCCACUUCUCCGUCCCCUGGAGCCCUCCCCGGUGGGGACAACCUCAGCGGCCUCGCUGCUCGUCCUCCUCCUCCCUCCUGGCGGGACCUUCGCCUUCUGAAACGGGAACUGAAAUUUGGCUCGUCAGCAUCGAGUUGCUGAUGAAAAUCUUGAUCACCUCAGCAUUUGUCAUCUUUUUGUCUCCUUAAGAAAAAAAAAGUUAGGAGAAGUGUUUUCUCACAGUGACACAGAACACAGCACAUUGUAACUACAGGAACAGACUCGACUGUGAAAGAUCUCUAUCAGGCAUCACAGAGAAUUUGAGGCAGCUGGCAGUUAUCAGCUGAAGCAGUAAGCCAGUAGAACUGUACAAGCUAAAUAGAUAAUUGAAAAGCAAUCUGGAAACCUGGGAGAGAUAAUAAGCCUCUCUUCUAGAAGGGAGGUAACAACUCAGGUCAAAAAUGCGUGUCUACAUUUUGGAGGACAGAUAUCAAACAAGUUCUUCUCCUAACACACAAAUCAACAGCAGGAGACUUUUGAAGAAGAAAACACACAAUAUUUACAUGUGUGGUUCUAAAGUCUACUAUAAGGAAGCAGAAGUCAACUUUCCAUUUGGGGAAGGUCAUAGAUUGCUAAUCCAAACCCUGUUUUCCCAACAAAUGGCAAUUUGUUUGUAGGUAUUCACAUAUGUCCUCUUACUUUUUGGUGACUUUCUUGCUCUUUAACAAUAAGGCCUGAUGUAACUUAUGAUGGUGCCCCAGGAUCACACUGUUUUGUUUUGUUUAUUCCACAAAAUCAGUAAUAAUAGUUUCUUUUUUCCCAUUUACAUUUUUUUUGUCAGUUAUUGUCUCAUUGUCAGUAAUGUCGUUGAAUGCACAAGUCUGAUACUGAAUUGGUAUUCAAAUACCUACUUCUUAUCAAAUAGCUUGAAUUCUGCAACAAUUUAUUGUGGUCUAUGGUGAGACUUAGGUGCAGAUUGAGACAUCUUAGGCAUCUAUAUGGAAGAGCUCAGGUGUAAACUAUAUGUGUAAACUCUUGCUCUAGACAAGAGUCAAUGCAAUCUGUGGACCCCUCUUGGUGCCUUGUCUGCUGAUGAACUGCUUUGCAGAUGUUUCAGAGGGAACUGAGUUGUUCUCUGAGCUCCAUCUGAACACAGACAAAAAUUAUAGCAUCAUGUGAAAUGUACUGUCAGUUUCUGUCUUGCAGCUCUCUACAGGAUGAGAUUCCCAGAAACUGGAAAAAUACAUUUAAAAAUAUAUUUUAAUCACUAAGUUCCUGACAAAAAUAGUGAAAAGAACUUUCUCCCAAAGACAAAUCAGGAUUCCCUAAAAGUGUUGGAUCUUUGCUUGUCAUUUACUGUGACUCAUGCACAUCAUACAGCAGUACCCAAAGCUAUUGGCCAGGUAAAGCAAUCUGGAUAUCUUUGUAUGCUUUUGUUCUGAAAAUGUGUAUCGAUGUACAUCUUGGAUCUCUCAGGCUUCUUCAAUACAUUUAAGAUAUUAACAGGAUUAUUUGAGUUGGUAACCUGAAAUAAUCUGACACUGCAUUUAUUGAUGCAGAAGAUUAUUCUGAAAUUUGUGUCCAAAUGUCUUACUUACUUUACAGUUCCAUAUGAAUAAAAUAUUUUGCUUUGAACAUAGUUUUUCAUUUCCUUUGUAGUGAUUCUGUCUACUGGGGAGUCAUUCAUCCCUUAUCCUAGAGAUUUUUGCUUCUCAGC
Vidua macroura (Pin-tailed whydah) is the source of this 2033-nucleotide long non-coding RNA. RefSeq lists it as uncharacterized. NCBI's taxonomy places the organism in Eukaryota, Metazoa, Chordata, Aves, Passeriformes, Viduidae. The transcript is spliced from 4 exons. The record is from RefSeq and is a predicted model, not a curated record.